GUYGGGUCGUAGUGAACCUGCGGAAGGAUCAUUACAGUAUUCUUUUUGCCAGCGCUUAAUUGCGCGGUGAAAAAACCUUACACACAGUGUUUUUUGUUAUUACAAGAACUUUUGCUUUGGUCUGGACUAGAAAUAGUUUGGGCCAGAGACUUACUGAACUAAACUUCAAUAUUUAUAUUGAAUUGUUAUUUAUUUAAUUGUCAAUUUGUUGAUUAAAUUCAAAAAAUCUUCAAAACUUUCAACAACGGAUCUCUUGGUUCUCGCAUCGAUGAAGAACGCAGCGAAAUGCGAUAAGUAAUAUGAAUUGCAGAUUUUCGUGAAUCAUCGAAUCUUUGAACGCACAUUGCGCCCUCUGGUAUUCCAGAGGGCAUGCCUGUUUGAGCGUCAUUUCUCUCUCAAACCUUCGGGUUUGGUAUUGAGUGAUACUCUUAGUCGAACUAGGCGUUUGCUUGAAAUGUAUUGGCAUGAGUGGUACUGGAUAGUGCUAUAUGACUUUCAAUGUAUUAGGUUUAUCCAACUCGUUGAAUAGUUUAAUGGUAUAUUUCCUGGUAUUCUAGGCUCGGCCUUACAAUACAACAAACAAGUUUGACCUCAAAUCAGGUAGGACUACCCGCUGAACUUAAGCAUAUCAAUAAGCGGAGGAAAAGAAACCAACAGGGAUUGCCUUAGUAACGGCGAGUGAAGCGGCAAAAGCUCAAAUUUGAAAUCUGGCACCUUCGGUGUCCGAGUUGUAAUUUGAAGAAGGUAACUUUGGAGUUGGCUCUUGUCUAUGUUCCUUGGAACAGGACGUCACAGAGGGUGAGAAUCCCGUGCGAUGAGAUGCCCAAUUCUAUGUAAAGUGCUUUCGAAGAGUCGAGUUGUUUGGGAAUGCAGCUCUAAGUGGGUGGAAAAUUCCAUCUAAAGCUAAAUAUUGGCGAGAGACCGAURGCGUACCAGUCAGUGAUGAAGAUGAAAGGAACUWUGAWGAAGUUAUAGUACGUGAACAUGCCUGCAAGGGUGUAUAGGGCUUUGGAGARAA
This 1018-nucleotide ribosomal RNA is filed under the name Debaryomyces hansenii. Its description in RNAcentral is "eukaryotic LSU rRNA". The stretch from base 587 to 1018 matches the Rfam family "Eukaryotic large subunit ribosomal RNA", at positions 1 to 438 of the family's 3401-position model. Lineage: Eukaryota; Fungi; Ascomycota; Pichiomycetes; Serinales; Debaryomycetaceae. The record is from RNAcentral.